RNAcentral lists this ribosomal RNA (409 nucleotides) under uncultured bacterium. RNAcentral's name for it is "bacterial SSU rRNA". It matches the Rfam family "Bacterial small subunit ribosomal RNA", at positions 28 to 423 of the family's 1533-position model. The record is from RNAcentral.
AAUCAACGCUGGCGGCGUGCCUAACACAUGCAAGUCGAACGGGAAGGGAGGCUUCGGCCUCCCGGAGAGUGGCGUACGGGUGAGUAACACGUGGGUAAUCUGCCUUCGGGUGGGGAAUAACGAUCCGAAAGGGUCGCUAAUACCGCAUAAUGCAGCGGCACCGCAUGGUGACAGUUGUUAAAGGGGGGGAUCGCAAGACCUCCCGCCGGAAGAGGAGCCCGCGCCCGAUUAGCUAGUUGGUGAGGUAAUGGCUCACCAAGGCUUCGAUCGGUAGCCGGCCUGAGAGGGCGGUCGGCCACACUGGCACUGAGACACGGGCCAGACUCCUACGGGAGCAGCAGUGGGGAAUUUGGGCAAUGGGCGCAAGCCUGACCCAGCAACGCCGCGUGAAGGACGAAAUCCCUCUGGG